AUUGAACGCUGGCGGCAGGCCUAACACAUGCAAGUCGAAUGGUAACAGGAAACAGCUUGCUGUUUCGCUGACGAGUGGCGGACGGGUGAGUAAUGUCUGGGAAACUGCCUGAUGGAGGGGGAUAACUACUGGAAACGGUAGCUAAUACCGCAUAACGUCGCAAGACCAAAGAGGGGGACCUUCGGGCCUCUUGCCAUCAGAUGCGCCCAGAUGGGAUUAGCUAGUAGGUGGGGUAACGGCUCACCUAGGCGACGAUCCCUAGCUGGUCUGAGAGGAUGACCAGCCACACUGGAACAGAGACACGGUCCAGACUCCUACGGGAGGCAGCAGUGGGGAAUAUUGCACAAUGGGCGCAAGCCUGAUGCAGCCAUGCCGCGUGUAUGAAGAAGGCCUUCGGGUUGUAAAGUACUUUCAGCGGGGAGGAAGGGAGUAAAGUUAAUACCUUUGCUCAUUGACGUUACCCGCAGAAGAAGCACCGGCUAACUCCGUG
Molecule: ribosomal RNA, 490 nt
Filed under: uncultured bacterium
Lineage: Bacteria
Description: partial 16S ribosomal RNA
Rfam family: Bacterial small subunit ribosomal RNA
Source: RNAcentral